RNAcentral lists this unclassified non-coding RNA (260 nucleotides) under Hevea brasiliensis (rubber tree). The record is from RNAcentral. Lineage: Eukaryota; Viridiplantae; Streptophyta; Magnoliopsida; Malpighiales; Euphorbiaceae.
CCUGCACAGAAGUAAAAUUCACUAAUUUUGAUGCAACUUUCUAAUAACUGUAUUGCCAUACUGAGAUCAACUCUACUCUAUUGUUGUGCUUUAUAAGAUUUGUCAAUUAAAUUUGCAUAAUGAAGUUCAAUUCACUUUUUAUUUGAUUAUAAUGAUGACUGUGAAAGUUAAACUUAUUUUAGUGGAUUUAAAAUCACACCUUUUAUAGAUAUUUCAAAUCCAAACUCAAAUAAUUUUUUUAAUCUACAUUAAAAAACAAA